This 312-nucleotide ribosomal RNA is filed under the name uncultured eukaryote. Its description in RNAcentral is "partial large subunit ribosomal RNA". It matches the Rfam family "Eukaryotic large subunit ribosomal RNA", at positions 40 to 350 of the family's 3401-position model. The record is from RNAcentral.
AUAUCAAUAAGCGGAGGAAAAGAAACUAACAAGGAUUCCCUCAGUAACGGCGAGUGAAGUGGGAAGAGCUCAAAUUUAAAAUCUGGCGUAAAAGCCCGAAUUGUAGUCUAAAGAGGCGUUAUCGGACGCGAGUCUGUCGUACAAGUUCCCUGGAAUGGGACAUCACAGAGGGUGAGAAUCCCGUCUGGACGAUGGAUGAGCGGACAUAUGAGACGUUCUCAAAGAGUCGAGUUGUUUGGGAUUGCAGCUCAAAAUGGGAGGUAAAUUUCUUCUAAGGCUAAAUAAUGGCAAGAGACCGAUAGCGCACAAGUA